This 268-nucleotide long non-coding RNA is filed under the name Olea europaea (common olive). RNAcentral's name for it is "long non-coding RNA (OEUR_LNC004458)". The record is from RNAcentral. Lineage: Eukaryota; Viridiplantae; Streptophyta; Magnoliopsida; Lamiales; Oleaceae.
UAUUCUCUAAGCGUAAAAAACAACUCACUCGGGCACAAGUCCAUGCGAAUUUCUUUUCUGAGUUUUUAUAUCUAGCAUUUAAUUUCUAGUGAUUUUUCUUAUCUAUUUUUAAUUAUGGGUUUGCCAAAUGCACUAACCUAGCUCUUAUUUAUAAACUUUUGUGGGGUCUUGAGAAAUGGGAUGGUGUUUAAUUGAAUUUGUAUUUUAUUUCUUUGAUUUUUCACUCUAUUUGUUGUAGAUUUGUUGCACGCCUAAGUUUAUUUAUUUA